UACGUAGGCACCAAGCGUUGUCCGGAUUUAUUGGGCGUAAAGAGCUCGUAGGCGGUUCGGUAAGUCGGGUGUGAAAACUUUGGGCUCAACCCAAAGCCUGCACUCGAUACUGCUGUGACUUGAGUCCGGUAGGGGAGUGGGGAAUUCCUGGUGUAGCGGUGGAAUGCGCAGAUAUCAGGAGGAACACCGGUGGCGAAGGCGCCACUCUGGGCCGGUACUGACGCUGAGGAGCGAAAGCGUGGGGAGCGAACAGG
Molecule: ribosomal RNA, 254 nt
Filed under: uncultured bacterium
Lineage: Bacteria
Description: partial 16S ribosomal RNA
Rfam family: Bacterial small subunit ribosomal RNA
Source: RNAcentral